AUUUCCCUACGGGAGGCAGCAGUGGGGAAUAUUGGGCAAUGGGCGCAAGCCUGACCCAGCAACGCCGCGUGAAGGAGGAAGGCUUUCGGGUUGUAAACUUCUUUUCUCAGGGACGAAGAAAGUGACGGUACCUGAGGAAUAAACCACGGCUAACUACGUGCCAGCAGCCGCGGUAAUACGUAGGUGGCAAGCGUUAUCCGGAUUUAUUGGGUGUAAAGGGCGUGUAGGCGGGAGCGCAAGUCAGAUGUGAAAACUCAGGGC
RNAcentral lists this ribosomal RNA (261 nucleotides) under uncultured bacterium. RNAcentral's name for it is "partial 16S ribosomal RNA". It matches the Rfam family "Bacterial small subunit ribosomal RNA", at positions 333 to 608 of the family's 1533-position model. The record is from RNAcentral.